Ostrinia furnacalis (Asian corn borer) is the source of this 494-nucleotide long non-coding RNA. RefSeq lists it as uncharacterized. NCBI's taxonomy places the organism in Eukaryota, Metazoa, Arthropoda, Insecta, Lepidoptera, Crambidae. The record is from RefSeq and is a predicted model, not a curated record. The transcript is spliced from 2 exons.
UUCAACGCGUGAAGAUGUUUGUGUGUGUUCAUGUCAAACUAGCGGCGGCGCGCGCGUUUCACUCACGACGUCAGGUAAGUUCAACCAGUUUGAUCUUGUCGCUAGAAACGAUAGCACGUUUUUAUCAUGUCGUUCAAUACAGAAGAGUUUAUUAGUGCUAUUCAGGCUAGAACUCCUAUUUGGCAAAGGAAACACAGUCAUCAUAUGAACAGAAAUGUUGUUUAGUUGAUAACGAUAAUAUUAAUUAAAUUAAAUAAUAAAGAGGAACCUUGUUUGAAUUUGAUUUUGAUUGAAAAUUAUAAAUUACUUACUAAGAAAAUCUUUUUUUUAAACUCACCUUAUAGUUACAAAUAGUCUUUCUUCGGGCUUUAUACUUUUAUGAAAAUUUGUGUCUACUUUUGAAAUAUCACUCCUUAUUGAAUCCAGUAUGUAAUCAAAACAGUUGACACUCAUCCUGGUAUAUCCAAAAAACCUUGAAGGAUGUUCUCUCAAAU